GACGAACCACACAAACGUUAUUCGGAAUUACUGGGCUUAAGGGUGCGUAGGCGGCGCGGUAAGUCGGGUGUGAAUCUCGGAGCUUAACUCCGAACUGCAUUCGAUACUGCCGUGCUUGAGGACUGGAGAGGAGACUGGAAUUUACGGUGUAGCGGUGAAAUGCGUAGAUAUCGUAAGGAAGACCAGUGGCGAAGGCGGGUCUCUGGACAGUUCCUGACGCUGAGGCACGAAGGUCAGGGAGCAAACGGG
This 249-nucleotide ribosomal RNA is filed under the name uncultured bacterium. RNAcentral describes it as "partial 16S ribosomal RNA". It matches the Rfam family "Bacterial small subunit ribosomal RNA", at positions 524 to 776 of the family's 1533-position model. The record is from RNAcentral.